This 75-nucleotide transfer RNA is filed under the name Synechococcus sp. HK01-R. RNAcentral's name for it is "tRNA-Ala". The record is from RNAcentral. Lineage: Bacteria; Bacillati; Cyanobacteriota; Cyanophyceae; Synechococcales; Synechococcaceae.
GUGGCAAUGGAUCUCGGUUGAUGUCUCUUCUGCAUGGCAUGCAGGGGGUCAGGAGUUCGAGUCUCCUUGGCUCCA